Molecule: ribosomal RNA, 224 nt
Filed under: Aedes albopictus (Asian tiger mosquito)
Lineage: Eukaryota; Metazoa; Arthropoda; Insecta; Diptera; Culicidae
Description: partial 18S ribosomal RNA
Source: RNAcentral
UGAUCCCCUGCCUAGGGUUUGGGUUUGGGUUCGAGUAACAGCAACAGAGCUAAAACACUUCCUUCCUCGUUCUUCGACGGACGGCCGCCACCACUGACGCCGCAGUGUGACGACCCGCCACUUAGCUAUGUCAAACCAAAGCGGACGUAUGUGCCCUGCGCGGGUUCGGCCCUGCUGACCGGUCGGGGUCUGUGCAAGCCGUAUCGUACGCACGCCACUAACGA